AACGAACGCUGGCGGCAGGCUUAACACAUGCAAGUCGAACGAGUGUAGCAAUACACUAGUGGCGCACGGGUGCGUAACGCGUGGGAACCUUCCUCGUAGUUCGGAAUAACUCAGGGAAACUUGGGCUAAUACCGAAUGCCUCCUUCGGGAGAAAGAUUUAUCGCUACGAGAUGGGCCCGCGUCAGAUUAGGUAGUUGGUAGGGUAAUGGCCUACCAAGCCGACGAUCUGUAGCUGGCUGAGAGGAUGAUCAGCCACACUGGGACUGAGACACGGCCCAGACUCCUACGGGAGGCAGCAGGUGGGGAAUCUUGGACAACGGGCNCAAGCCUGAUCCAGCCAUGCCGCGUGGGUGAAGAAGGCC
This 362-nucleotide ribosomal RNA is filed under the name uncultured bacterium. RNAcentral describes it as "bacterial SSU rRNA". It matches the Rfam family "Bacterial small subunit ribosomal RNA", at positions 29 to 416 of the family's 1533-position model. The record is from RNAcentral.